UACAGAGGUCUCAAGCGUUGUUCGGAUUCAUUGGGCGUAAAGGGUGUGUAGGUGGCGCCGUAAGUCGGGUGUGAAAUUUCGGAGCUUAACUCCGAAACUGCAUUCGAUACUGCGGUGCUUGAGGACUGGAGAGGAGACUGGAAUUCAUGGUGUAGCAGUGAAAUGCGUAGAGAUCAUGAGGAAGACCAGUGGCGAAGGCGGGUCUCUGGGCCAGUACUGACGCUGAGGAGCGAAAGCGUGGGGAGCAAACAGG
This 253-nucleotide ribosomal RNA is filed under the name uncultured bacterium. RNAcentral's name for it is "partial 16S ribosomal RNA". It matches the Rfam family "Bacterial small subunit ribosomal RNA", at positions 524 to 776 of the family's 1533-position model. The record is from RNAcentral.